RNAcentral lists this ribosomal RNA (764 nucleotides) under Halospirulina sp. ZDe. RNAcentral's name for it is "bacterial SSU rRNA". It matches the Rfam family "Bacterial small subunit ribosomal RNA", at positions 32 to 838 of the family's 1533-position model. Lineage: Bacteria; Bacillati; Cyanobacteriota; Cyanophyceae; Spirulinales; Spirulinaceae. The record is from RNAcentral.
AACGCUGGCGGUACUAAUCUACACAUGCAAGUCGAACGGUCUCUUAGGAGAUAGUGGCGGACGGGUGAGUAACGCGUGAGAACCUGCCUCUAGGACGGGGACAACAGAGGGAAACUUCUGCUAAUUCCCGAUACGCCUUUGGGUAAAAGAUUUAUCGCCUAGAGAGGGGCUCGCGUCCGAUUAGCUAGUUGGUGGGGUAAAAGCCUACCAAGGCAGCGAUCGGUAGCUGUUCUGAGAGGAAGAACAGCCACACUGGGACUGAGACACGGCCCAGACUCCUACGGGAGGCAGCAGUGGGGAAUUUUCCGCAAUGGGCGCAAGCCUGACGGAGCAAUACCGCGUGAGGGAAGAAGGUCUUUGGAUCGUAAACCUCUUUUCUCAGGGAAGAAGAUCUGACGGUACCUGAGGAAUAAGCCUCGGCUAACUCCGUGCCAGCAGCCGCGGUAAUACGGAGGAGGCAAGCGUUAUCCGGAAUUAUUGGGCGUAAAGCGUUCGCAGGUGGCUAUUCAAGUCUGCUGUCAAAGACCAGAGCUCAACUCUGGGUAGGCGGUGGAAACUGAAUAGCUAGAGUGCGGUAGGGGUAGAGGGAAUUCCCAGUGUAGCGGUGAAAUGCGUAGAGAUUGGGAAGAACAUCGGUGGCGAAAGCUCUCUACUGGACCGCAACUGACACUCAGGGACGAAAGCUAGGGGAGCGAAAGGGAUUAGAUACCCCUGUAGUCCUAGCCGUAAACGAUGGAGAAACUAGGCGUAGAUUGUAUCGACCC